This 625-nucleotide long non-coding RNA is filed under the name Prunus dulcis (almond). RNAcentral describes it as "sRNA ncRNA". The record is from RNAcentral. Lineage: Eukaryota; Viridiplantae; Streptophyta; Magnoliopsida; Rosales; Rosaceae.
GGACAGAAAAAAAAAACAGGAGAAGACGACAGAAGAAGAAAAUUGUUGCAGAAGGAAAAUUGCAGGAGCACAAAUACAAGAAGAGACAUUUUCACAGGUAGAUUGAUCCUGUCAAUUAAUUCUUGUUGGGUGGCAACCCUAAAAUCAUUCUCUUGGAUGAUAAAUCCAUAAUGGGUGGCAACCCUUAAAUCAUGAACAACAAAUCCAUGAGAGGAUUUCUGUUUAACAAAGCUCUGCCGAGCAAAAGAGAAUCCUUUGAAAUGGAUGCAAAAUAUUGGAUACAAAAUCCAUUAUGGGUGUGUAACCCUCAAACAAAUACCCUAAAUGAUAUAUCCAUUUUUGGGCAUAAAACUCGUUCAGUGGGUUCUCAAGAGCACAAAUCCAAUUUGGGUACAAAACCCACAAACAAAAUCACCGAGGGUUUAAUCUCACAGCAAAAUAAAAAUAAACUGUGCUUGAUCAACCAUACAACCAUACUGGUCAAUUUGCGGAGCAAGCCCAAAGCCCUCCAUUCCUUUAAACCAUCUUUUCCCUUCCUUUACCAGACCACAAUGGUUACAAGCAGACAAAGGAAAACAAAAAAAAAAGAGGAAGCAGCCACCAAGAAAAAGAAGAAGAAAAGUCA